Molecule: long non-coding RNA, 1657 nt
Organism: Leptidea sinapis
Lineage: Eukaryota; Metazoa; Arthropoda; Insecta; Lepidoptera; Pieridae
Exons: 2
Source: RefSeq, a predicted model, not a curated record
GCAAUUUUAGUGCCGCUCAGGAUUUUUGGGUUUUUUGGAAUCCUUAGCGGCACUUCUAUGUAAUGCUGUGCUAUGGCAGGCCGUAUCAAUUACCAUCAGCUGAACGCCUUGGUCUUUUCGUCCCAUAUCUCAUAAAAUCAAUACAUAAGAAAGUAUAUUUACAAUCUAUAUUAAUAUUAAAAAGAGGUUGUAGGGGUUAGUUAGCAAUAGAAACCCACAUUAUUUCAGAGUGUAACAGGCUAUUUAUAAGCCUGAAAAAUGAAAUAACCAUUUCGUGGUAGGCGCAUUUGAAAAAUAAGUCGGGGACAAAACCCUCGAAAAAAAACGCUUCUUACGAAUGCUGCCUUAACGGCACUGACCUCUACUAUAUACCACUGGACUGGCGUCUGUCAAAGUGCUUUUGUGCCUGUUUGAUAUUCGCCAUUUGGGCGCUAUUGGCAAUGUAGCGAGAGUCUGCAGUACUAAAACUAGUGAUGAAAACCUCAGCUAAACAAAUAUCGAUAGGAAAACUAUUUAUAAAAAUAUGUGUACCUUAUAACGUUGAUUCCUGAAGUAUAAAUAACACGGAAAACGACCUAAAUUAAUUCAAAAUGCAAAAAUACUACAGAGUAUUGUACGUUUCUCGCGCAGCCAUUUGUAUUAUACGUCAAAAUUAGUUCUCUGGACGCUCGAGAGUGGCGCUUCAAAUAGGCACAAAAAAUUUGCUUUUAAACUUAAGGAACAACCUGUCCAGUGGUAUUUAUACAGGUCAGGGCUUAAUGGUGAGAGAUAUAAUAUGUUUUUGUUCUGUCGCCGUUGUCUUUGCUUGUUCAUUAGUUGAGUUAAUUUUCGACGUAGAGGUCUCUGUUGCCUAUGGGAGCAAUAAAAUAAACAUAAGCUUACUCGGCUUGUUAGCAUUGUGAUUGGCCGCCAUGACAGCCGUUAAUUCAAUAGCGUCAGGCGGCUAAUCGUGCAAACUAAAGAGUUAGAAUAUACUCUCGUAUAGAUGACUCGACAGCCCGUUAAUGCGAGACCAAUCAUAUUUGGCAAUCCGGCUAGGUUAUGGGUACCACAACGGCGCCUAUUUCUGCCGUGAAGCAGUAAUGUGUAACAUUACUGUGUUUCAGUCUGAAGUGCGCCGUAGCUUGUGAAAUUACCGGGCAAAUGAGACUUAACAUCUCAUGCCUCAAAGUGACGAGCGCAAUUGUAGUGUCGCUUAGAAUUUUUUGGUUUUUCAGGAAUCCUGAGCGUCACUGCAUUGUAAUGGGCAGGGCGUUUCAAUUACUAUGAGCUAAACGUCCUGCUCGUCUCGUCUCUAAUUAUCACAAAAAAAGCUAAUGCCAAGCGUGGCUGACUGUUUACCACUUGUCAAUCAAAAUGGGUUACAGAUACGUCCUUCUCUCUCGCACGCUUCGUUUGUCUAUACGCUAGUGUAUUGUAAGUCUGUGGCUCAAACGUCCUAACCGCUAGUGAGGUUUUAGUAAAAUUUGUUCAAUAAUUAUUAUAGAAUUAAAUAGAAAUGCAAAAUUUGUAUAUUAAUCAUUAUUAAUGUUUUAAAUUGUAAAUUAGAAUAGUAAAUGAUAUGUUAAUUACGACUUUUACAUUCAAUAUGGUUUAAUUGAUAAUGUUUAUAAUAAUUUUAGUAUUUAAUUAAUGAUUAAAUAUUUAUCUACAUAAA